CCUACGGGUGGCAGCAGUGAGGAAUAUUGGUCAAUGGACGCAAGCCUGAACCAGCCAUGCCGCGUGCAGGAAGACGGCUCUAUGUAUUGUAAACUGCUUUUGUACGAGGGUAAACGCAGAUACGCGUAUCUGUCUGAAAGUAUCGUACGAAUAAGGAUCGGCUAACUCCGUGCCAGCAGCCGCGGUAAUACGGAGGAUUCAAGCGUUAUCCGGAUUUAUUGGGUUUAAAGGGUGCGUAGGCGGUCGGAUAAGUUAGAGGUGAAAUCCCGAGGCUCAACUUCGGAAUUGCCUCUGAUACUGUUCGGCUAGAGAUUAGGUGCGGUAGGCGGAAUGUAUGGUGUAGCGGUGAAAUGCUUAGAGAUCAUACAGAACCCCGAUUGCGAAGGCAGCGUACCAAGCCACUUCUGACGCUGAGGCACGAAAGCGUGGGGAGCAAACAGGAUUAGAUACCCCAGUAGUC
RNAcentral lists this ribosomal RNA (460 nucleotides) under uncultured bacterium. Its description in RNAcentral is "partial 16S ribosomal RNA". It matches the Rfam family "Bacterial small subunit ribosomal RNA", at positions 338 to 795 of the family's 1533-position model. The record is from RNAcentral.